This 279-nucleotide ribosomal RNA is filed under the name uncultured bacterium. RNAcentral's name for it is "partial 16S ribosomal RNA". It matches the Rfam family "Bacterial small subunit ribosomal RNA", at positions 506 to 784 of the family's 1533-position model. The record is from RNAcentral.
UGCCAGCAGCCGCGGUAAUACGGAGGGGGCUAGCGUUGUUCGGAAUUACUGGGCGUAAAGCGCGCGUAGGCGGACUGGUCAGUUGGGGGUGAAAUCCCAAGGCUCAACCUUGGAACUGCCUUCAAAACUGCCAGUCUUGAGUCCGGGAGAGGUGAGUGGAAUUCCUAGUGUAGAGGUGAAAUUCGUAGAUAUUAGGAAGAACACCAGUGGCGAAGGCGGCUUUCUGGACCAAUACUGACGCUGAGAUGCGAAAGCGUGGGGAGCGAACAGGAUUAGAUA